GGACCCGCACAAGCAGCGGAGCAUGUGGUUUAAUUCGAAGCAACGCGAAGAACCUUACCAAGGCUUGACAUCCCUUGACCGUCAUGGAAACAUGGCUUCCCUUCGGGGCAAGGAGACAGGUGGUGCAUGGUUGUCGUCAGCUCGUGUCGUGAGAUGUUGGGUUAAGUCCCGCAACGAGCGCAACCCUUGUCAUUAGUUGCCAGCGCGUGAUGGCGGGAACUCUAAUGAGACUGCCGGGGAUAACUCGGAGGAAGGUGGGGACGACGUCAAAUCAUCAUGCCCCUUAUGUCUUGGGCUACACACGUGCUACAAUGGCCGGUACAGAGGGCAGCGAAACCGUAAGGCGGAGCGAAUCCCAAAAAGCCGGUCUCAGUUCGGAUCGUGGGCUGCAACCCGCCCACGUGAAGCCGGAGUUGCUAGUAAUCGCGAAUCAGCAUGUCGCGGUGAAUGCGUUCCCGGGUCUU
This 464-nucleotide ribosomal RNA is filed under the name uncultured bacterium. RNAcentral's name for it is "bacterial SSU rRNA". It matches the Rfam family "Bacterial small subunit ribosomal RNA", at positions 917 to 1382 of the family's 1533-position model. The record is from RNAcentral.